GAUGAACGCUGGCGGCGUGCCUAAUACAUGCAAGUCGAGCGAACAGACGAGGAGCUUGCUCCUCUGACGUUAGCGGCGGACGGGUGAGUAACACGUGGAUAACCUACCUAUAAGACUGGGAUAACUUCGGGAAACCGGAGCUAAUACCGGAUAAUAUAUUGAACCGCAUAGUUCAAUAGUGAAAGACGGUUUUGCUGUCACUUAUAGAUGGAUCCGCGCCGCAUUAGCUAGUUGGUAAGGUAACAGCUUACCAAGGCAACGAUGCGUAGCCGACCUGAGAGGGUGAUCGGCCACACUGGAACUGAGACACGGUCCAGACUCCUACGGGAGGCAGCAGUAGGGAAUCUUCCGCAAUGGGCGAAAGCUUGACGGAGCAACGCCGCGUGAGUGAUGAAGGUCUUCGGAUCGUAAAACUCUGUUAUUAGGGAAGAACAAAUGUGUAAGUAACUAUGCACGUCUUGACGGUACCUAAUCAGAAAGCCACGGCUAACUACGUG
Molecule: ribosomal RNA, 497 nt
Filed under: uncultured bacterium
Lineage: Bacteria
Description: partial 16S ribosomal RNA
Rfam family: Bacterial small subunit ribosomal RNA
Source: RNAcentral